AACGAACGCUGGCGGCAGGCUUAACACAUGCAAGUCGAGCGCGUGGUAACACGAGCGGCAGACGGGUGAGUAACGCGUGGGAAUCUACCCUUGACUACGGAAUAACGCAGGGAAACUUGUGCUAAUACCGUAUGUGUCCUUCGGGAGAAAGAUUUAUCGGUCAAGGAUGAGCCCGCGUUGGAUUAGCUAGUUGGUGGGGUAAAGGCCUACCAAGGCGACGAUCCAUAGCUGGUCUGAGAGGAUGAUCAGCCACAUUGGGACUGAGACACGGCCCAAACUCCUACGGGAGGCAGCAGUGGGGAAUAUUGGACAAUGGGCGCAAGCCUGAUCCAGCCAUGCCGCGUGAGUGAUGAAGGCCCUAGGGUUGUAAAGCUCUUUCACCGGAGAAGAUAAUGACGGUAUCCGGAGAAGAAGCCCCGGCUAACUUCG
Molecule: ribosomal RNA, 429 nt
Filed under: uncultured Rhizobium sp.
Lineage: Bacteria; Pseudomonadati; Pseudomonadota; Alphaproteobacteria; Hyphomicrobiales; Rhizobiaceae
Description: bacterial SSU rRNA
Rfam family: Bacterial small subunit ribosomal RNA
Source: RNAcentral